Molecule: long non-coding RNA, 312 nt
Filed under: Gossypium raimondii (Peruvian cotton)
Lineage: Eukaryota; Viridiplantae; Streptophyta; Magnoliopsida; Malvales; Malvaceae
Description: long non-coding RNA (GRAI_LNC001952)
Source: RNAcentral
CCUGAUUUAUUAUUUUAUUUCAUUUAUAUUCAGACUUUUUUUAUUUUGCCUUUCUUUUAUUUUUUUAUUAGUUAUUUUUCAUAUUAUUUUUCUUCUUAUUAUUUUAUCUCUUUGUUGUUAUUUUCUUUCGUUUAGUUAUUAUAUUGUUUCUUAUUUUUCUUCUUAAUAUAGUUACCAGUUGUGGCAUGAUUAGGUACUGGCAUAUACUAUUUUCGGAAUAAAGUAUCUAUCUAGGCCACUCAGAUGUUUCCGUUCGUCAUGAGAGCACCAUAGUAAGGUAUUUGAAUUUGCAUGUUGAUUUCUUGGCCCCUC